This 31-nucleotide transfer RNA is filed under the name Trachylepis damarana (Damara skink). Its description in RNAcentral is "partial tRNA-Tyr". Lineage: Eukaryota; Metazoa; Chordata; Lepidosauria; Squamata; Scincidae. The record is from RNAcentral.
GGCUUGGUAAGAACGGGACUUGACCCGCCUG